AUUGAACGCUGGCGGCAUGCUUUACACAUGCAAGUCGAACGGUAACAGGUUAAGCUGACGAGUGGCGAACGGGUGAGUAAUGCAUCGGAACGUGCCCGGUCGUGGGGGAUAACGCAGCGAAAGCUGCGCUAAUACCGCAUACGAUCUGAGGAUGAAAGCGGGGGACCGUAAGGCCUCGCGCGAUCGGAGCGGCCGAUGUCAGAUUAGGUAGUUGGUGGGGUAAAGGCUCACCAAGCCGACGAUCUGUAGCUGGUCUGAGAGGACGACCAGCCACACUGGAACUGAGACACGGUCCAGACUCCUACGGGAGGCAGCAGUGGGGAAUUUUGGACAAUGGACGCAAGUCUGAUCCAGCCAUUCCGCGUGCAGGAUGAAGGCCCUCGGGUUGUAAACUGCUUUUGUACGGAACGAAAAGGUUUCCAUUAAUACUGGGAGCUCAUGACGGUACCGUAAGAAUAAGCACCGGCUAACUACGUG
Molecule: ribosomal RNA, 477 nt
Filed under: uncultured bacterium
Lineage: Bacteria
Description: bacterial SSU rRNA
Rfam family: Bacterial small subunit ribosomal RNA
Source: RNAcentral